Molecule: ribosomal RNA, 740 nt
Filed under: uncultured Ignavibacteriaceae bacterium
Lineage: Bacteria; Pseudomonadati; Ignavibacteriota; Ignavibacteria; Ignavibacteriales; Ignavibacteriaceae
Description: bacterial SSU rRNA
Rfam family: Bacterial small subunit ribosomal RNA
Source: RNAcentral
ACUGGCGCAAGGGUGAGUAAUAUGUAAGUAAUUUACCUGUGGAUUCGGAAUAACUCGUCGAAAGGCGGGCUAAUACCGUAUAAUGCAGCGGCAUCGCAUGAUGAUGUUGUUAAAGUUGCAGCAAUGUAACGUCUACAGAUAAGCUUGCAUCUGAUUAGCUAGUUGGCGGGGUAACUGCCCACCAAGGCUACGAUCAGUAGCUGGUCUGAGAGGAUGAUCAGCCACACUGGAACUGAGACACGGUCCAGACUCCUACGGGAGGCAGCAGUGAGGAAUAUUGGGCAAUGGACGCAAGUCUGACCCAGCAACGCCGCGUGGAGGAUGAAAGCCGUAAGGUUGUAAACUCCUUUUGAAGGGGACGAAAAAUCAAGUUUCGUAAGGGACUUGAACUGACGGUACCCUUAGAAGAAGCCCCGGCUAACUACGUGCCAGCAGCCGCGGUAAUACGUAGGGGGCAAGCGUUGUCCGGAUUCACUGGGUGUAAAGGGCGCGUAGGCGGGUUUGUAAGUCAGUGGUGAAAUCCUGCGGCUUAACCGUAGAACUGCCAUUGAUACUGCAAAUCUUGAGUUUGGAAGAGAGAAGCGGAAUUCCAGGUGUAGUGGUGAAAUACGUAGAUAUCUGGAAGAACACCAGUGGCGAAGGCGGCUUCUUGGUCCAUAACUGACGCUGAGGCGCGAAAGCGUGGGGAUCAAACAGGAUUAGAUACCCUGGUAGUCCACGCUGUAAACGAUGAAUACUAG